Non-coding RNA from Xyrichtys novacula (pearly razorfish), 474 nucleotides. The record is from the annotation of a GenBank genome assembly. Lineage: Eukaryota; Metazoa; Chordata; Actinopteri; Labriformes; Labridae.
AUAUGUGGACGGGGGAGGAGACGGACUUAUUUCUGAAGUUUUUAAUUGUAUUUGUAUUUUUCUGAAGUUUUGAAUCCACAAUUCGUCUGUGAAUUCCUCAUUAACGAUCCUCUCCCAGAAAUCGCUCAUCCGUGUUCGCUCCCAUACAUACGAGCUUUGCCUUUGAAUUAUCACCCACUGCCUUCGUCUUCUGAUGACAGCAGCGGCAACAGCAGUAAUGGUCACAGAAAUAGCUGCUCCAAAACGAAAAAUGUUUUGUGUCUCGUCCAUGUUGGUGUGCAAAAAGGCUUAAGGAAUACGAGGUCGCACGGGCAGGAAGUUUACCUCGUUGCUAGGCAACGGCCAUUUAAACACGGCUCGCGAGAGGCAGACGGCUCGCUUAUGCCCUGAACACCAUUCAAUGGAAACACCCGCAAAUCGCAAUUGUACUUUGUCGAAAUUUGAUAAACAUCGCUUUUAUUUUGCGAAAAAAUG